Molecule: long non-coding RNA, 661 nt
Organism: Eleginops maclovinus (Patagonian blennie)
Lineage: Eukaryota; Metazoa; Chordata; Actinopteri; Perciformes; Eleginopidae
Exons: 3
Source: RefSeq, a predicted model, not a curated record
GUGGGCUAUGGAUCCUAAAUAUGCAGGUUGGCUUUACCACACAGAACACGGUGAGUAGAGCAUUAUUUAUUUUAUGUUAUAUGUGAAAAGUGUAGACUAAGCUAUAUUAAGUGAGUUAUUGUAUUAUUCCUAGGAAUGUUUUGUAGAAUCUGCAGGAUGCACCGACAAAAGGCAUCUCGUGGCCCCUCUCAAAGGCCUUUCAUAGAGCUACCUUGUACCAACUACAGGCGCGAUGCCUUGGACCAGCACUUGGGCUCAACGAAUCAUAUUUCAUGUGUGGGCAUUACAGCCCAAUCAAGCCGAAGUCUGCCCAUCAAUGAGGCAUUUCAGCCCAUUUUGAAUUUGGAGCAUGAGGCCAUAAUUGGUGGCUUUAAAUGUCUAUACUGGCUGGUAAAACAUGAAAUUGCGCACCAUACAAAUUACCCGGCAUUGCUGGAUCUGGCAGACCUCCUAGGCUGCGAAUAUUUUGCCAAACUGAAGAUUGAUCAGAGGACAAACUACAGGUCCCACAGGAUUGUGGAUGAAAUGCUACAGAUUCUGGGUGAAGUGGUUGAGGAGCCCAUUUUAGAGGCCAUUAAAUCAUCAAAGGCUAUUGGCCUGGAAAUUGAUGAGUCCACAGACAUCUCUGUGACAAAACAGUUAGAUCUCCAUGUCAGGUACA